AUUGAACGCUGGCGGCAUGCUUUACACAUGCAAGUCGAACGGUAACAGGCCGCAAGGUGCUGACGUGUGGCGAACGGGUGAGUAAUGCAUCGGAACGUGCCCAGUCGCGGGGGAUAACUACUCGAAAGAGUAGCUAAUACCGCAUACGAUCUAUGGAUGAUAGCGGGGGACCGUAAGGCCUCGCGCGAUUGGAGCGGCCGAUGUCAGAUUAGGUAGUUGGUGGGGUAAAGGCUCACCAAGCCAACGAUCUGUAGCUGGUCUGAGAGGACGACCAGCCACACUGGGACUGAGACACGGCCCAGACUCCUACGGGAGGCAGCAGUGGGGAAUUUUGGACAAUGGGCGCAAGCCUGAUCCAGCAAUGCCGCGUGCAGGAAGAAGGCCUUCGGGUUGUAAACUGCUUUUGUACGGAACGAAACGGCUCUGGUUAAUACCCGGGGCUAAUGACGGUACCGUAAGAAUAAGCACCGGCUAACUACGUG
This 482-nucleotide ribosomal RNA is filed under the name uncultured bacterium. RNAcentral's name for it is "partial 16S ribosomal RNA". It matches the Rfam family "Bacterial small subunit ribosomal RNA", at positions 30 to 507 of the family's 1533-position model. The record is from RNAcentral.